UAUUUAGGAAUGCGGGACUUGGUUCAGAUUGGGAUUAAUUCAGUUAAGCAGACACUUUUGCAAGUUAGUUUCAAUAAGUUAACAAUCCAUAAUAAUAUACAAAAAAUUCCUGAACUGAGUGCGUUGAUAUCUGUUGUUACUGUUUUCACUACUUGAUAGUUGAUAUUAGAUCAUUAAGUUGUUUCUCAGUACAAAUUACUAGAAGGAAUUUCGAAGUGUGAAUACACGUGCAAAAGCUAUAUAAAAACACAUGUAUGUUUAUGCAUUUGAAUGCAAAUAGAAGUACAAAUAUUAUUAUCAAUAGAUGCAUUAUUCUUUUAUUUACAGAUUAAUAUCAGCUGCUCAACUGGAUAUUAUGAGCUUUCAAUAACUUAAGAUCAACACGAACAUUUCCUGUAGAAUCUAAAUACAAUUGUCUCAUAUGCUUGGUCCAUGUUUUAUAUACAAAAUGGACAUUCGUAAGGAAAAAUACAAGUUUGAAGUUUUAUGUUAUUCUUAUUUUUAAAUAUGCUGAUAAUGAUAUCUUUAAAAGAAAGUAAAAACAGAUAUUGAUGCAACAGUCACUAGCACGUAAAUAGUCUGACAUAAGAAUAUAGAAGCUUUAUGAUAGUGCAUCUAAUAACAACUUUUUUCUAAAAUCUAAAGAUUACAAAUAUUAGAGCAGAGCAAGCAAUUCUACACAGAAAGUUACACAAUAUGAAACAACUUUGAGUACGUGUUUGGCUUUAAAAGUAAAAGUUAGUUUUAAAUGAAUUUUUAUUUUCAAACAUGUUUGUCUAUUACUUUUUCUUAUAAGUGCAAAAAAUUACUUAGUUUGAAAGUAACUUUUGCAUUAAAUGUCAAAAUAAGAACUUAUUUCUAACUUUACCUAAUAAAAGUUAAUUAUUUUGGAACUUACUUAUUUAAUAAGUAACGUUUUAAGCUUAGCCAAACAUGCUCUAACUUGUAUAUAUAAUCUUGAAUCUUUCUAUAUGACAUAGCAUAUUUAUAUUACUAUGUAAACACCACCAAGGUGCAUAGGUGUAGGUUAGUAUACCUUAAUGUUAGUUCAUGAGCAACCCAAACUGAGCUAGUCUUUGCAUCGGAUUUCUCUGAUCACGUCAAGAAAGGGAAAUAAAUUGAGUCAAAUCCUGUUCAUAGUUAUGUAGAGCUUCUAAAUUUAUCUAAUGAAAAGUUUUAAAGCUUAGCCAAACAUGCGCUAAGUCAUAUAUAUAAUCUUUAAUCUUUCUAUAUGACAUAGCAUAUUUAUAUUACUAAGUAGGCACCACCAGGUGCAAAGGUGUAGGUUAAUUUACCUUAGCUCUGGUUCUUAAGCAACCCAAACUGAGCUAGUCUUUGUAUCNN
This 1344-nucleotide long non-coding RNA is filed under the name Olea europaea (common olive). RNAcentral's name for it is "long non-coding RNA (OEUR_LNC013415)". The record is from RNAcentral. Lineage: Eukaryota; Viridiplantae; Streptophyta; Magnoliopsida; Lamiales; Oleaceae.